ACGGGUGAGUAACGCGUAGGAAUCUACCUUAUAGUGGGGGAUAACCUGGGGAAACCCAGGCUAAUACCGCAUGAUUCUUAAGAGAUAAAGCAGGGGACCUUCGGGCCUUGCGCUAUAAGAUGAGCCUGCGUCGGAUUAGCUAGUUGGUGGGGUAAAGGCCUACCAAGGCGACGAUCCGUAGCUGGUCUGAGAGGACGGCCAGCCACACUGGGACUGAGACACGGCCCAGACUCCUACGGGAGGCAGCAGUGGGGAAUAUUGGACAAUGGGCGCAAGCCUGAUCCAGCAAUGCCGCGUGUGUGAAGAAGGCCUUCGGGUUGUAAAGCACUUUCAGUAGGGAGGAAGGAUUUAGCUCUAAUACAGCUAAGUAUUGACGUUACCUACAGAAGAAGCACCGGCUAACUCUGUGCCAGCAGCCGCGGUAAUACAGAGGGUGCGAGCGUUAAUCGGAAUUACUGGGCGUAAAGCGUGCGUAGGUGGUUUGAUAAGUCAGAUGUGAAAGCCCCGGGCUUAACCUGGGAACUGCAUUUGAAACUAUUAGGCUAGAGUACGGUAGAGGGAAGUGGAAUUUCCGGUGUAGCG
This 582-nucleotide ribosomal RNA is filed under the name uncultured bacterium. RNAcentral's name for it is "bacterial SSU rRNA". It matches the Rfam family "Bacterial small subunit ribosomal RNA", at positions 102 to 680 of the family's 1533-position model. The record is from RNAcentral.